This 529-nucleotide ribosomal RNA is filed under the name uncultured bacterium. Its description in RNAcentral is "bacterial SSU rRNA". It matches the Rfam family "Bacterial small subunit ribosomal RNA", at positions 777 to 1304 of the family's 1533-position model. The record is from RNAcentral.
AAUAGAUACCCUGGUAGUCCAUGCCGUAAACGUUGGGAACUAGAUGUAGGGCCUGUUCCACGGGUUCUGUGUCGUAGCUAACGCAUUAAGUUCCCCGCCUGGGGAGUACGGCCGCAAGGCUAAAACUCAAAGGAAUUGACGGGGGCCCGCACAAGCGGCGGAGCAUGCGGAUUAAUUCGAUGCAACGCGAAGAACCUUACCAAGGCUUGACAUACACCAGAACACCGUAGAAAUACGGGACUCUUUGGACACUGGUGUACAGGUGGUGCAUGGUUGUCGUCAGCUCGUAUCGUGAGAUGUUCGGUUAAGUCCGGCAACGAGCGCAACCCUCGUCCUAUGUUGCCAGCACGUGAUGGUGGGAACUCAUGGGAUACUGCCGUGGUCAACACGGAGGAAGGUGGGGAUGACGUCAAAUCAUCAUGCCCCUUAUGUCUUGGGCUUCACGCAUGCUACAAUGGCCGGUACAAAGGGCUGCGAUACCGUAAGGUGGAGCGAAUCCCAAAAAGCCGGUCUCAGUUCGGAUUGGGGU